AUUCCAGCUCCAAUAGCGUAUAUUAAAGUUGUUGCAGUUAAAAAGCUCGUAGUCGGAUUUCGGGGCCUGCCGAGCGGUCUGCCGAUGGGUAUGCACUGUUCGGCGCGUCCUUCUUUCCGGAGACUAAUUCUACUCUUAACUGAGCGGAAUUGGGAGACGGAUCGUUUACUUUGAAAAAAUCAGAGUGUUUCAAGCAGGCAGCUCGCUCUUGCAUGGAUUAGCAUGGGAUAAUGAAAUAGGACUCUGGUGCUAUUUUGUUGGUUUCGAACACCGGAGUAAUGAUUAACAGGGACAGUCAGGGGCACUCGUAUUCCGUCGAGAGAGGUGAAAUUCUCAGACCAAUGGAAGACGAACCACUGCGAAAGCAUUUGCCAGGGAUGUUUUCAUUA
Molecule: ribosomal RNA, 389 nt
Filed under: Phaeocystis sp.
Lineage: Eukaryota; Haptophyta; Phaeocystales; Phaeocystaceae
Description: partial small subunit ribosomal RNA
Rfam family: Eukaryotic small subunit ribosomal RNA
Source: RNAcentral